CGUGUAGGCGGCUUGACAAGUCAGAUGUGAAAUCCCUGGGCUUAACCCAGGAAGUGCAUUUGAAACUGUCUGGCUCGAGUAAGGGAGAGGAAAGUGGAAUUCCUGGUGUAGAGGUGAAAUUCGUAGAUAUCAGGAGGAACACCGGUGGCGAAGGCGACUCUCUGGCCCUAUACUGACGCUGAGACGCGAAAGCGUGGGUAGCAAACA
Molecule: ribosomal RNA, 207 nt
Filed under: uncultured Syntrophaceae bacterium
Lineage: Bacteria; Pseudomonadati; Thermodesulfobacteriota; Syntrophia; Syntrophales; Syntrophaceae
Description: partial 16S ribosomal RNA
Rfam family: Bacterial small subunit ribosomal RNA
Source: RNAcentral